CAUGAAUCUAGUAGCAAUAUACCUGUUCCUAAAAUAGUACGUAGAUGUGAAAACAUAUUAUUUUUUCAGCCCCUUGGGCAAUACCUGGAAAGCCUUUGGAUUUGUGGAUAUUUCACUGCCUCAACAGUGUGCACAGGUCUAUGGCUUAGAGCUACUCUGGUAGAGAGAUCAUUUGUCAUGAAGUUGAAACACCGUGGAAUAGAAUCUGUUGUCUGGUACUUUUAGGAGGCUGAGACAGGUGAUAACCAGCUGUUAAAAGAAAAACUUUAGACAAAAUACGUUUAACAGAGUUAAUGUGAACAAUAAAAGAUUCAUGAAUCAUACACCACUUGAAACCAGAAGGUGUUAAGAGAGCUCGGGCUCAGCAUAAUGGCAGUGAGCUUUUGUAGGCUGAACAUGGAAAUAAAAUACAGAAAUUAUUGGAUUCGCUACAGCUAGGCAUUUGUUCUGCUUGGGGAUAUUCCUAUGGGAGGUCCCAUGUAGUGGGUAAAUCAGCUGGUUGGCUGUCUGUGAUUGGCUGAAACUUGGUUGAAAAUGAAUCACUUAUAAGGACUACGGCUAAGUUAAGAUUUCUUUUGCUUGUAAGAGAGUUUUAGUCAGAAGCACCUCCAGGUUAACAGUCUUUUGCUUAUUUUGGUUUUAAAAAUAUUAGCACAUUGGGCCGGGGAUUUAACUCAGUGGUUUCGCGGCCUGCUGUGCAAGCACAAGGACCCGAGUUCAAUCCCCAGUACCUCCCCCCCAAAAUUAGUACAUGUUUGCAGUAUAUGAAGUUUGAAGCUUAUUUUUGCUUUUACACAGUCAAGAUUGUUCUUCCAGUCAUCCUGAAACAAGCUUCCUAUAUGUAAAUCUUGAGAGAGAUGAGGGGAAAUGGAAUGAUUUCCAAAAUAUGAGUUCGUUCUCAAAAGGAUAUGGAUCUUGGUUCGAGAGCAUAAAUAUGGUGACUAAUAAUAAUAAAAAUGAUAAGAUACCAUUUAAGUAGCUACUAAGUGGCAGUAAACCAUAAAAAGAUAUUAGAUAUAGACUUAAUAUACUUUCCCCAUAGAAAACCCAGGAUCUCAUGUUCAUCAAUCUCUGCACUGAGUUAGGUUUUAUGAAGUAAAUUCUACCAGUCAAAAGUAACUAAAUCAGAAUUCCAAUCUUUACUGGCAUCUCUCAAAGAACAUUAAAAUGAUUAAAUUCAAUCCUCACAGCAAAAUCUGUCAAAGUUCCUUUCCUUGGUCAGUCUUUACAUUUUGUUGCCUACUUCAGAACUUCUUACUUGACAGUUACUCCUUAAUGCUCAUGGCAAUGAUUUAUUUAUUUAUUUAUUGCCUGCCCUUGAAAUAAGAUUGUUACCAGGCAGAUAGACUUAAUCAUUACUGCAUCAGAUUUAUUUCUUCUCUGUCGGUCCAUUCUGCAGGUUCUCUGCACCAGAGGGCAGUGCUGGGGCUGAGAGAACAUACAAGAAUCCUAUCUCCCUGCCUCUACCUGCAUCUCUCCUUCACAGUCUCUGUCUCUCUGUCUCUCUCUCUUUCUCUCUCUCUCUCGACCUCUCUCCCUCUAUCCCUCUCUCUCUCUUUCUCUUCCCCCACUUCAUUCUUCCUAAUUGACAUCACAAAAAGCCAGACAAUGGGGGUGGCAUAAACUCUCUGGAAAGAUCAGGAAAAGCAGACCAAAAUUCUCAGGAUGGACUGGGAUGUGGUGAGGAAGUGGAGAAAGGAUGAAUAUUGGGAAUGUCGACACUAGUCCACGUGGAUAUAUCUGGCUCUGGUUAUGUACAUCUUAUGGUUUAAUUUUCACAAUAACCCUAUGAGGGAGUUGGGAUUAAUCUCAUGUUUCAUAUGAGGAAAGGAGGCUUGGAGACAUUAACCAGGAAAAUGAGAGAUUAAAAGGACAAAACAGAAAGGUGCUGUGUUGAUUGAUACCCACAGAAGUGCUCUUCUCUCCUCUUAGGUUUUGCCAGCAUUUGACCCCAGGAGUCCUGUUCCAGACAAUUCUGUGUCUUAAGUGUUUUCUGAUCACUCAGUCCACACCAAUCUUUAUCCCAGCCCUUUGAUUUGCCUAUAGUACUAGAGUUUCAUGUCAUGGGUCCAAGUGGUCAUUUAGUUGUUCUGUAGGAAAAACACUCUAUAUUCACUCUGGCAACCCCAGGCUAUUCCCCCUGUUCAAACUUAGCUUUCUCGUGCUUGUCUUUCUGCCCUUGAAAGUGCUUCACGGCCCUGUCAUCUGGUUCCCAUCCCAAGUUCCCCCAGGAAGGUCCCUGUUAUGGACUGAAUUGUGUUCCCUCAAACUUCAUAUUUUGAAUUCCUAACCCCCAGGACUUCAGAAUAUGAGUGUACUUGGAGAUAGAGCCUUCAAAGAGGUAAUCAAGCAAGAAACAUGAUCACCAAUGUGGGCCUUAAUGUAAUACAACUGGCAUCUUUUAAAAAGGGAAGAUUAGAACACAGACAUACACAGAAGGGAGACUGUGAGGACACAGCUGGAAAGUGGCAACUUGCAAGCCAAGGAGAAGGACCUCAGAAAAAAUUAACCCCACUGACAACUUGGUUUUGGACUUCCAGCCUUCAGAACUGUGAGAAAACACAUGUCUCUUGUUUAAGCCACCCAGACUGUGGUAUUUUGUUAUGACAGCCAUAGAAACUCAUAUACUGCCCUUCUUUGGAUUGGGUGGCAGUUUCUGAACUAGAAUCAAUUUCAUGGGAGUCUAAAAUGACUGGGAAGAGCCUUAGAGUCUGCGUAUGGCCCUCAAAGAGGCUGCUGAACAGCCUACCCUGAAUCUAUCAGGAACUCAUCUCUAGGGAAUUUAUCGUGAACUACCUGAAGAUUAUCCUCCUCUCGAAUGAUGGUACAUGUGAGACAGUUCAGCUGAGAGGUGGCUGCUAGGUCUCUAAAGACUGAUAUAGGAAGGAGUGAGAGGAAGACCCAAUAGACAACUCCUGUCCACAGGCCAACAGUGGUAGCAUCACCUGAGAGUGUGUUAGAAAUGCAAGAUCUCAGCUGCCACCCCAGAAUCUUCAUUUUAAUAUAAGCCUCAAGCAAUUAAGACACUUACUACAUUUUGAGAAACACUGACACUGAUCUGUAGAUCUCAAGUCAUAAUGGAUCUUUAUAGGUCCAGUGUAUCCCUGGCAUAGGCCAGAGGAGUAGGACAAUGAUUCUCAUUGAAAUCACAUGGGGGAGACUUUGGGACUCCUGAUGCCAAGGCCUUGGCCAAGCAAUGAGGAGCUCUGUAGGAGACCCAAGCACCAAAACAUUUUAAAAGCACCUUAAGCAAUUCCAAUUUGUGGACACACUUGAGAAUGUAUCUAUUAUCUAUUUACUCAUAAGAAACUGCCCAACAUUCAGUGGCUUAAAACCAUACCAUUUAUUAACCUCAUGAUUUCAUAGAUUCUGAAAGUUAGUGAUUUGGGCUCGCAUCUAUUUGGUGGUUUUGAUCUCUAUUUGGAAAGAGAGGGAGAGGGAGAAGGAGAGAGGGAGAGGGAGAGGCAGAGAGAGAGAGAGAGAGAGAGAGAGAGAGAGAGAGAGAGAGGAACCUCCUUGAGAUCUAGACUCAGAACAGGUACCAUGUUGUUUCCACAAUUUCUAUUAGUGAAGCAAGUCACAGGGCCCAUAUUCAAAGGUAUAGUAGAUUUCACCUCUUGAUGGGAAGUUAUGCAGUCACACAUGAAAGGCAGAGAGGGGUAGAACUGUGGCAGAUUUUGCAGUCUAACACAUUGAAUUGAUAAGGCUCCCUCUUUGACCAAACUUUAGUUAGGCUCCUCCAAGCCUUCUUUUCACUACAAUUCUUCAUUGGCCCUAUCUUUGGCCACUGGAGCCAAUUUUAGCAAGGAUCUUCUAAGCCAGUGUAGGGAGAUCUCUUCAUCUUUGACUUCCAAUCAAAAUCCUCACUCCUCCACCCUCAAUAUCUAAUUGAGUUUGUCUCCCCCACUCUUGAUAUCUAACCAAGUUCUUCUUAGUUAUUUUCCAACCUCUCCAUCACCUUCCCUGUUGGCUAUAAAUCUUCUGCGCAUUCAGAAUUGACUUCAACCUCUCUCUUCUAUCAUAACAGUCUUCAGUUAAACCUUCCUAGGUCUUUUAAAAGACUUCAGUGCAACCUCUCUUGAACAGGAUCACUGGGAGGGGAAUGUCUUCUCUUCCCUGACCUUCCCCCAUGUUCCCAUGCUGCUAUUCUAAUGCCUAAGUGAGCUCUCUCUGCCUAGUCUAGGAAAUUGGACAAUGAAGUUCCCUUUCUGAGGGAAACAGAACAAGACAGUUUGCUGAACGAAGCUCCACAGUGUUUUGUGUUUAAAUCUCAGAGGUCUAUUUGUGAUCUCAAACAAAAAGUGUUCACUUGACUCCUCUUAAGCUGAAAUUUCUCAUCUUACAAAUGAGAACAAUAAUACCUUCCUAGCAGGGUUAUGAAGCUUAAAUAUCUGUAACAGCAUCAAGCUCACAGGUGUUCAGCUGAUUGGCUUUUUUUCCUUACAGAAAAAUCUCACUACUUACAAUGGACCAGACAAAGGCCAAUUUGAAUGAACAAAAGUUCAAUUACAGAAUUUCUCUACUUGCCCCCGAAGUAGUUGUCAUCUCUCCACCCCAGAGUAACCACAUUAUGUGAUUCCUCAAGGGGGAGGUUCUUAGAGGUCUGCAAGAACAAAUAGUGCCACAAUAAUUGAUGGUUCCUCCAAGAUUCCUGGACCUGCUAGGAAUCUGCAUCUGAAGUCACUCCAAGGGACCAGGUCCUCAGAACCCAGACCUUGAAGAAAGAGAUGUUCUGGGAUGCUGCCCACCAGGAGAAGACAAUAGAGGAAUUCUCAAAACUGGGUCCACAGCAUCUCUGAAGAGAGAGCAUGUGGAUGGUGUUACCUUCAUAUGGGGGACCCUAGAGGAUGUGUAUCACAGAAGAUCCACUACACUGCCGGCCCUUAGAGAUGAAAUGGAAAACGCAUGUGCAGCAAUCUCAACGACCAAGGUUACCCAAGCAGCAGUUCACCAUACUAAUAAAUGCCUGGAAGCUAAUGGCCAUCGCUUUUGUAAUAGUAGAGGCCAAAGCCUACUUGUAUUACUCCCAUGAUGUCUCAAUAAAUUUGGUAUUAAAAUAUUUACACAGGUUUUUCUUUUCCUGAAGUGUGUAUACAUAUUUUUGCAGACUCCGUAUAUGUUGCUUAAUAGAUACAACUGCUCCAUCUUCUUGUCAUUGCCAGGUUCUUGUCAUUUAGGUUUUGGCUCCACUCUCUUCCCCACCCACUCCCACAUCCCAAGCUGCCUCCUGCCACGUUAUCUUGCUUCACUGUACUCACAGAAUUGUGACUGUCUGCAUUAUCUCAUUCAUUUUUUUGUUUACUUUUUUGUUUUGCUGUCUGCUGCCCUG
Molecule: long non-coding RNA, 5329 nt
Organism: Heterocephalus glaber (naked mole-rat)
Lineage: Eukaryota; Metazoa; Chordata; Mammalia; Rodentia; Bathyergidae
Source: Ensembl